Molecule: ribosomal RNA, 643 nt
Filed under: uncultured bacterium
Lineage: Bacteria
Description: bacterial SSU rRNA
Rfam family: Bacterial small subunit ribosomal RNA
Source: RNAcentral
UACCGCAUGACAAAUAUAAUCCGCAUGGAUUAUAUUUUAAAGGAGAAAUCCGCUUUGAGAUGGACCCGCGGCGCAUUAGCUAGUUGGCAGGGUAACGGCCUACCAAGGCGACGAUGCGUAGCCGACCUGAGAGGGUGAACGGCCACAUUGGAACUGAGAGACGGUCCAGACUCCUACGGGAGGCAGCAGUGGGGAAUAUUGCACAAUGGGCGAAAGCCUGAUGCAGCAACGCCGCGUGAGUGAAGAAGGUUUUCGGAUUGUAAAGCUCUGUCAUCUGGGACGAUAAUGACGGUACCAGAUGAGGAAGCCACGGCUAACUACGUGCCAGCAGCCGCGGUAAUACGUAGGUGGCAAGCGUUGUCCGGAAUUACUGGGCGUAAAGGGUGCGCAGGCGGACAUUUAAGUGAGAUGUGAAAUACCCGGGCUUAACCCGGGCAGUGCAUUUCAAACUGGGUGUCUGGAGUGCAGGAGAGGAGAACGGAAUUCCUAGUGUAGCGGUGAAAUGCGUAGAGAUUAGGAAGAACACCAGUGGCGAAGGCGGUUCUCUGGACUGUAACUGACGCUGAGGCACGAAAGCGUGGGUAGCAAACAGGAUUAGAUACCCUGGUAGUCCACGCCGUAAACGAUGAGUACUAGGUGUAGG